Molecule: ribosomal RNA, 253 nt
Filed under: uncultured bacterium
Lineage: Bacteria
Description: partial 16S ribosomal RNA
Rfam family: Bacterial small subunit ribosomal RNA
Source: RNAcentral
UACGUAGGGGGCGAGCGUUGUCCGGAAUUAUUGGGCGUAAAGAGCGUGUAGGCGGUUCGGUAAGUCUGCCGUGAAAACCUGGGGCUCAACCCCGGGCGUGCGGUGGAUGCUGCCGGGCUAGAGGGUGGUAGAGGCGAGUGGAAUUCCCGGUGUAGCGGUGAAAUGCGCAGAUAUCGGGAGGAACACCGGUGGCGAAGGCGGAUCUCUGGGCCAUUACUGACGCUGAGGAGCGAAAGCGUGGGGAGCGAACAGG